GAGUUUGAUCUUGGCUCAGAACGAACGCUGGCGGCAGGCCUAAUACAUGCAAGUCGAACGCACCUUCGGGUGAGUGGCGGACGGGUGAGUAACGCGUGGGAAUCUGCCCUUGGGUUCGGGAUAACAGUUGGAAACGACUGCUAAUACCGGAUGAUGACUUCGGUCCAAAGAUUUAUCGCCCAGGGAUGAGCCCGCGUCGGAUUAGCUAGUUGGUGAGGUAAAGGCUCACCAAGGCGACGAUCCGUAGCUGGUCUGAGAGGAUGAUCAGCCACACUGGGACUGAGACACGGCCCAGACUCCUACGGGAGGCAGCAGUGGGGAAUAUUGGACAAUGGGCGAAAGCCUGAUCCAGCAAUGCCGCGUGAGUGAUGAAGGCCUUAGGGUUGUAAAGCUCUUUUACCCGGAAGAUAAUGACUGUACCGGGAGAAUAAGCCCCGGCUAACUCCGUGCCAGCCGCCGCCGUAAG
RNAcentral lists this ribosomal RNA (466 nucleotides) under uncultured Alphaproteobacteria bacterium. RNAcentral describes it as "bacterial SSU rRNA". It matches the Rfam family "Bacterial small subunit ribosomal RNA", at positions 9 to 524 of the family's 1533-position model. The record is from RNAcentral. Lineage: Bacteria; Pseudomonadati; Pseudomonadota; Alphaproteobacteria.